UAGGGAAUUUUCGGCAAUGGGGGAAACCCUGACCGAGCAACGCCGCGUGAGUGAAGACGGCCUUCGGGUUGUAAAGCUCUGUUGUAAAGGAAGAACGACCUUGAUAGACUCAAGGAGUGACGGUACUUUAUCAGAAAGCCACGGCUAACUACGUGCCAGCAGCCGCGGUAAUACGUAGGUGGCGAGCGUUAUCCGGAAUUAUUGGGCGUAAAGGGUGCGCAGGCGGUUGGUUAAGUUUAUGGUGAAAGCGUGGGGCUCAACCCCAUAUAGCCAUAGAUACUGGCCAACUAGAGUGCAGAAGAGGGUAGUGGAAUUCCAUGUGUAGCGGUAAAAUGCAUAGAUAUAUGGAGGAACACCAGUGGCGAAGGCGGCUACCUGGUCUGUAACUGACGCUCAAGCACGAAAGCGUGGGGAGCAAUAG
RNAcentral lists this ribosomal RNA (421 nucleotides) under uncultured bacterium. Its description in RNAcentral is "bacterial SSU rRNA". It matches the Rfam family "Bacterial small subunit ribosomal RNA", at positions 355 to 774 of the family's 1533-position model. The record is from RNAcentral.